RNAcentral lists this ribosomal RNA (497 nucleotides) under uncultured bacterium. RNAcentral's name for it is "partial 16S ribosomal RNA". It matches the Rfam family "Bacterial small subunit ribosomal RNA", at positions 28 to 507 of the family's 1533-position model. The record is from RNAcentral.
GAUGAACGCUGGCGGCGUGCCUAAUACAUGCAAGUCGAGCGAACGGACGAGAAGCUUGCUUCUCUGAUGUUAGCGGCGGACGGGUGAGUAACACGUGGAUAACCUACCUAUAAGACUGGGAUAACUUCGGGAAACCGGAGCUAAUACCGGAUGAUAUUUUGAACCGCAUGGUUCAAAAGUGAAAGACGGUCUUGCUGUCACUUAUAGAUGGAUCCGCGCUGCAUUAGCUAGUUGGUAAGGUAACGGCUUACCAAGGCAACUAUGCAUAGCCGACCUGAGAGGGUGAUCGGCCACACUGGAACUGAGACACGGUCCAGACUCCUACGGGAGGCAGCAGUAGGGAAUCUUCCGCAAUGGGCGAAAGCCUGACGGAGCAACGCCGCGUGAGUGAUGAAGGUCUUCGGAUCGUAAAACUCUGUUAUUAGGGAAGAACAUAUGUGUAAGUAACUGUGCACAUCUUGACGGUGCCUAAUCAGAAAGCCACGGCUAACUACGUG